CUUACAAAAGUUGAUUAGUAUUUAAACUUGUUAUCUGCUUUUAAUCUGGAUAGUUCUAAACGCAAUCAUCAUUGACAUCUGGGGAAUCAGCUGUUUUCAAAACCAAGAAACCUUGAACUGCGGAGAGCCUGCAGUCAAAAAGGGAAAACAACAGAGUCUGUGCUAAAAUGAGAAUAAAUAUAAGGAUCGGCAUGGCUUUGGAGAGGUGGUGACAAUUCGGAGAUCUGAAGGGGUUGGAGACUGACACAGAGAUGUGUUUUUUUUCUGCUGAACAGAUAAGAUAUUUCAGUGGCUCAGUAGGUAGCUAACUAACAUUAACAUACUUGUCCGCUAGAUUCAGCUAGGUAUCGUGUUUCCUAUAUUGUUUUUAUUGUUUGUUGUGCUGUGGUCAGUGUGGUAAAUUGCACUUGUUUUCUGCUAGCUACGAGUGCAACUCACCUCUAAUGCAAGAAAAUCGUAUCCGCCUCUAACUCCGUUGUCAAGUAUUGGAGCUAAUAUACAACACAUACGAACAGCUCAAACGAUCAGAUUCAUCCACGCAGAGAAUACAAAAAAAAAUAAAAAAUUCUCAGGAAGUCUGAAUCUUCAUCGAUCAGC
Molecule: long non-coding RNA, 597 nt
Organism: Ictalurus punctatus (channel catfish)
Lineage: Eukaryota; Metazoa; Chordata; Actinopteri; Siluriformes; Ictaluridae
Source: Ensembl